Molecule: ribosomal RNA, 713 nt
Filed under: uncultured bacterium
Lineage: Bacteria
Description: bacterial SSU rRNA
Rfam family: Bacterial small subunit ribosomal RNA
Source: RNAcentral
GUCGAACGAAGCACCUUGGACAGAUUCUUCGGAUGGAGUCCUUAGUGACUGAGUGGCGGACGGGUGAGUAACGCGUGGGUAACCUGCCUCAUACAGGGGGAUAACAGUUAGAAAUGGCUGCUAAUACCGCAUAAGCGCACGGUACUGCAUGGUACAGUGUGAAAAACUCCGGUGGUAUGAGAUGGACCCGCGUUGGAUUAGCUAGUUGGUGAGGUAACGGCCCACCAAGGCGACGAUCCAUAGCCGACCUGAGAGGGUGACCGGCCACAUUGGGACUGAGACACGGCCCAAACUCCUACGGGAGGCAGCAGUGGGGAAUAUUGCACAAUGGGCGAAAGCCUGAUGCAGCGACGCCGCGUGAGCGAAGAAGUAUUUCGGUAUGUAAAGCUCUAUCAGCAGGGAAGAUAAUGACGGUACCUGACUAAGAAGCACCGGCUAAAUACGUGCCAGCAGCCGCGGUAAUACGUAUGGUGCAAGCGUUAUCCGGAUUUACUGGGUGUAAAGGGAGCGCAGGCGGUGCGGCAAGUCUGAUGCGAAAGCCCGGGGCUCAACCCCGGUACUGCAUUGGAAACUGUCGUACUAGAGUGUCGGAGGGGUAAGCGGAAUUCCUAGUGUAGCGGUGAAAUGCGUAGAUAUUAGGAGGAACACCAGUGGCGAAGGCGGCUUACUGGACGAUAACUGACGCUGAGGCUCGAAAGCGUGGGGAGCAAACA